UAGUCUACGCCGUAAACGAUGUGCACUUGGUGGUUGUCCUUAAGGAUGGCUGCCGUAGUUAACGCGUUAAGUGCACCGCCUGGGGAGUAUGCCGGCAACGGUGAAACUCAAAGGAAUUGACGGGGCCCGCACAAGCGGUGGAGCAUGUGGUUUAAUUCGAUGAUACGCGAGGAACCUUACCAGGGCUUGACAUAUACAGGAAUGCAUUAGAGAUAGUGCAGCCGCUUGCGGCCUGUAUACAGGUGCUGCAUGGUUGUCGUCAGCUCGUGCCGUGAGGUGUUGGGUUAAGUCCCGCAACGAGCGCAACCCUUGUUGUCUGUUGCCAGCGAGUAAUGUCGGGGACUCUGAAGAGACUGCCGGUGUUAAACCGGAGGAAGGUGGGGGAUGACGUCAAGUCCUCAUGGGCCUUUAUGCCUAGGGGCUGCACACGUCCUACAAUGCAACGGGACAAAGCGA
RNAcentral lists this ribosomal RNA (456 nucleotides) under uncultured bacterium. RNAcentral describes it as "bacterial SSU rRNA". It matches the Rfam family "Bacterial small subunit ribosomal RNA", at positions 791 to 1247 of the family's 1533-position model. The record is from RNAcentral.